CUCUUGUAAAACACCCGUGUCACAAACUGUUUGACACUUAAUUCAUAAUUAGAUAUCUAAAAUCAAAUGUUAGGCGAGACCAGGAAAGAGCAAGUUUUGACUUUGAUUUUUUUAAAAGAGAAAUGUUGUAUCAUAAUAAAACAAUUAAAUGGCACAUUUAUAUCUAACGUUAACCAGCUGGGUUUUAAUAAAUGACAAUGACAGUUAACAGUAUUCUGCAGCUAUGAUCAUGUCCAAUGAUGUAACUAAUACCUAACCGCCACAGGUAUUCAUACCUGUAUAUAUAUAUAUAUAUAUAUAUACCUCAACAUUUCAGAGAAUAGUUCCUGCUGCACAUCGAGGAUCUUGAUGUCUUCUUUCUCCGCCAGGUGGCCACACAACAUGGCGUAGAACACACAACUCCGACUCAUCAGAACAUAUCGGUGAGCUCGGACUGGCAUCCCUUCUUUCCCAACCCGGAAGCUGACGUCACAAGAAUCCUCAGAGGUCAACAUGUGGAGGUUACACUCCGCCAAGGUCUUCCCACUUUGCCAGUUGUCAACAAAUCCGGAGUUGUCUCCACUUACUUCCACAGAGGCCAUAGUGUUCCUGAAUGUUGUC
Haliotis rubra (blacklip abalone) is the source of this 600-nucleotide long non-coding RNA. RefSeq lists it as uncharacterized. The transcript is spliced from 2 exons. NCBI's taxonomy places the organism in Eukaryota, Metazoa, Mollusca, Gastropoda, Lepetellida, Haliotidae. The record is from RefSeq and is a predicted model, not a curated record.